This 680-nucleotide unclassified non-coding RNA is filed under the name Camponotus floridanus (Florida carpenter ant). RNAcentral's name for it is "uncharacterized LOC112637343, transcript variant X2". Lineage: Eukaryota; Metazoa; Arthropoda; Insecta; Hymenoptera; Formicidae. The record is from RNAcentral.
UUUCAUUACCUAUCUGACGCUAGCGUCUAGUCGAUCACGUGACCUCUUUUUGAACGCUAGCGUCAAAAGAAAAAAGCUGGAUUUGUUCAGCUUCAAGCGUCAAGCAGUGCCUCAAAAAUGUCUGUGGAAAACAUAAUAUUCAACAUUUAAAAAGGAAGCUCCCAAUGACAACUAAUAUUCCAGAAUCAAAAAGAAAAUUCAAAACAGGUUUGUCAUUCGACGAAGAAGAGCUGUUGAUUCUGGAAGUACAAAAACGAGAAGAUGGAAUUUUCAAUUAGAUAUUAGACAAAGAAAUCCGAAAGAAAGAAAUAAAUUGUGGCAGGAAGUUUCUGAGGCAUUAAAUGGUGUAAUUAGCCCAGAAACAGCUAAAAAUAAAUUUAAAUCUUUACAUGAUACUUAUCGUAAAAUUAUUCAAUCUGAACAAAAGGCAAGUGGAUCUGCAACACCAAAUACUACUCGCUUGUGGCAACAUUAUAAUAAUAUGGAAUUUUUGCGUGACUCUUGUUUGGUCAAAACCACGGCAUCAAAUAUUUCUAGAACAAGAGCAUCGUUCAAUGAUUCGGAUCAGUCAUCAGAAGAAACUAGGAAUGUUCGGUCAGAUAAUCUCAAAGAAAACAGUGCUAUUGAGAGAAUUGCUAAUGCUUUGUGCGAUACUUCCAACGAUGAUAUUAUUUUACCGC